Anopheles gambiae (African malaria mosquito) is the source of this 378-nucleotide long non-coding RNA. RefSeq lists it as uncharacterized. The record is from RefSeq and is a predicted model, not a curated record. The transcript has 3 exons. NCBI's taxonomy places the organism in Eukaryota, Metazoa, Arthropoda, Insecta, Diptera, Culicidae.
GGAUGGCGCUAGCGGAUGGUGUCUUUCUUUCCUUUCAAGGCCGAUGAAUGGCUUGCAAGCAGUGGACAAAAAUAAAAGCAUCCAAAACAAGGAACACGUCGACGAUCUGACGAUCUGGGAAUCUAAUCCAUCCGGUGUUGCAAAAGCGAGUGCAUCUGAUGACUAGACCACCCGGCCGCCCGCUCGUUGUGAAGUGUAAAGCGCUGUUUUGUUCUACAUUCUGUCAUAUUAAAAGCAUCACGUUUGGCAGCACGUUGUCCAGGUUUGGAGGAGAUGUUCCGGAUCAGGACGUAAACUUCGCCCCGUCCCUUGGACAGACAGCUUCGAACCAAGCAAUUACCAUGCUCGAAGGACACGCCGGCCUGGAACGAAUGCUGG